UAAGGUCUGAUUCAAUGAUUCGUACCACCUACCUCCUCGGUCUACUACUACUAAACGCCUCUUUUGUGCGCGGUAGACUUGUGGGCGGAGUGAAUCACUGAUUCAGGCUUGCAAAGCAAAAAAACCCGCGCCAGUCGCGGGUUUUUUU
Erwinia mallotivora is the source of this 148-nucleotide non-coding RNA. Lineage: Bacteria; Pseudomonadati; Pseudomonadota; Gammaproteobacteria; Enterobacterales; Erwiniaceae. The record is from Rfam.